This is a long non-coding RNA of Daphnia pulicaria, 687 nucleotides long. RefSeq lists it as uncharacterized. The transcript has 2 exons. The record is from RefSeq and is a predicted model, not a curated record. NCBI's taxonomy places the organism in Eukaryota, Metazoa, Arthropoda, Branchiopoda, Diplostraca, Daphniidae.
UUUGAAUGCAGAAAAAAGGACGUCGCAUCGCCCUGAAUACAUAAAUUUUGAAAUGGAAAUUCACCAGACAAGAGACAAGAAACGAGACCGACUGCUGUUUUUAAUCGUUCGCCAGUUCAGUUUCCACAUUGAUGGCAUCGUUUGAAUCCCGAAAUGUCGACUCGACCCAACUUGUUCCAGCUCCAUCCGUUAUUUGUAUAAUACACUGUUGCAUUCUCCACUUUUAGACAACUCCUACGCAUUUUGGGUUCACGGCAUUCCUAACCGAUUUCUACCGCCAACCCCCCAGCAGUUGAGAGUUCUUCAGACGGUUUCUUGAGCUUUUCUCGUUCACUCGUUCCGGAUGGAAAAACAAAAAGGGAAAACAAGAUCUCGGUGGCAUGAGGGACGAAACAAACGACGUACGGCACUUGAAAGAGCGUGGGCAGAGAUACCGAGAAAAUCUCCAGAAAGGGCAACUCGAGGGAGACUACUAAUCGGACUCGACUGUUGUGCAAACGGCUAAAUAAUACGACAGCGCUAAUGGCGGGAGUUCAAAAAACAAAACAUAUCGCCCAAACUUUCGAUGGCGAGAUGGGGGACGAAAAAGAUCAAAUUAUCGAGGUACUUUCUCAUCUCUUCGUUACAUGUUGCAAACAGGAAACAAUCGAACCGGAAGCCGACGUGGCGGACGUGAUGGAAUAUGUA